AUUUUAAAUCGCCAAACUUGUCGUGAGGCAAGGUCGGAAAGCCACGGGUCUUCAGGUGUGAUUUGAAGAUGGCUGGGUUGCAUUG
RNAcentral lists this non-coding RNA (85 nucleotides) under Methylophaga nitratireducenticrescens. RNAcentral describes it as "c-di-GMP sequence". It matches the Rfam family "c-di-GMP-I riboswitch aptamer". Rfam says of the family: GEMM was predicted in a large-scale screen for bacterial structured RNA regulatory elements. Genes associated with GEMM are involved in a diverse array of functions, including chemotaxis regulation, signal transduction, secretion and chitin. The record is from RNAcentral. Lineage: Bacteria; Pseudomonadati; Pseudomonadota; Gammaproteobacteria; Thiotrichales; Piscirickettsiaceae.